This 253-nucleotide ribosomal RNA is filed under the name uncultured bacterium. RNAcentral's name for it is "partial 16S ribosomal RNA". It matches the Rfam family "Bacterial small subunit ribosomal RNA", at positions 524 to 776 of the family's 1533-position model. The record is from RNAcentral.
UACGUAGGGUGCAAGCGUUAAUCGGAAUUACUGGGCGUAAAGCGUGCGCAGGCGGUUUUGUAAGUUUGUCGUGAAAGCCCCGGGCUCAACCUGGGAAUGGCGAUGAAGACUGCAAGGCUUGAAUCUGGCAGAGGGGGGUAGAAUUCCACGUGUAGCAGUGAAAUGCGUAGAGAUGUGGAGGAACACCGAUGGCGAAGGCAGCCCCCUGGGUCAAGAUUGACGCUCAUGCACGAAAGCAUGGGGAGCGAACAGG